RNAcentral lists this long non-coding RNA (616 nucleotides) under Ananas comosus (pineapple). Its description in RNAcentral is "long non-coding RNA (ACOM_LNC015979)". Lineage: Eukaryota; Viridiplantae; Streptophyta; Magnoliopsida; Poales; Bromeliaceae. The record is from RNAcentral.
UAUUGCUAAAAAAUAGACUACGUGAGAAAACCUAAUAAUUUUUUUUAGGAUCCCACGUCACUACAACAGAAUUAAGUUAUAGCGACACAUGUUUGGGAUACUUUUGAGUAAGUGUCCUAUUUAUUCUAAAACUUAAAAAAACAUCUAUUAAUGCCUAAAUAGAAAGUCCAAUCCAACCAAAAAUAAAAGAUUACUCUACUUAACUCACCACAUCCAGUCCAUUUGGCCCGAUUACAAAUAGAAAAGAAAAAAAAAAAGAAAAAUCAAUUACCAUCUUUUCUUCUCUCUUCACUCAAUCCACUGAAAUUCUAGACGAAGAGUCUUUCCUGUCGUCCUCCUCCGCCACCGCAGCCAACGAGAUAGAGUUUCGGCAGUUGCUAAAUGCUUAAAUAAGUGUUGGUAAAUUAGCAGUACUCUUUUAGGUUAUAGCGACACUCUUUAACUGUCACUAUAUACCUAGCGACCCCACAUAUAGCAACACUUUUUAAAAGUGUCGGUAAUUUUAGCUAGCAGUAUUUUUUUGACAUGUACCUAUAUUUAAAAGUGUCGCUAUAAACCGUUUUUGUUGUAGUGCGUGAGAAUAAAAAUUAUAAUUUCCUAAGUUUCAAUAAUUGGG